UGGAAGUGAUUCACAAUCACUGACUUCGAGGAUUCCCUCUUGAGUCAACCUGUUUAUUCUGUUUUUGUUUAUAUGACCUAGCCUACAGUGCCAUAAGUAGAUAUCUAACACACUAUCUAAUCUAGGGUGCUUGCCAGUAGAAUAGACUCUUAUCAGGCUUGAUCUUUUUUGGUCUAGCUCUGCACAGAUGUCCCAGCCUGAACUUGAACCUUCUUGACUUUCUUCUUCUUGUUCUUCUUCCCUUUCUUAAAAGGUUGAGAACCAGAAGACGAACCUCCCACUAAGUUCACCGACUCCUUGUGAAGUUGGUGAUCUUUCUCAAAGUUCUGAAGCAACCCUAGUAACCCGUGGUAGUUUACUUCAGGCUUUGUCAUUCUAUAAUGAGUGAGGAAUGGGAGAUAAGACUUGGGCAGCGAGUUCAGUAUUGCAUCUUUCCCAAGCUACUCAUGCAAGGAAAAGCCGAGCUUGCUCAAUCAUUCCAUCAGCUCGAUCAUGUA
RNAcentral lists this long non-coding RNA (497 nucleotides) under Elaeis guineensis (African oil palm). Its description in RNAcentral is "long non-coding RNA (EGUI_LNC051667)". The record is from RNAcentral. Lineage: Eukaryota; Viridiplantae; Streptophyta; Magnoliopsida; Arecales; Arecaceae.